Molecule: long non-coding RNA, 1049 nt
Organism: Folsomia candida
Lineage: Eukaryota; Metazoa; Arthropoda; Collembola; Entomobryomorpha; Isotomidae
Exons: 2
Source: RefSeq, a predicted model, not a curated record
GUGGAUGACAAAACAGCGGAAAACUUGCACCAACUGAAAACUCCUUGUCCAGCUGAAGAAGAGCAAAGUGAAAAUAAUUUCACAUUUGUUUUGAAACAUUUCUACUUUUCUACAGAAUUACAUUAAAUUCGGCACCACCCCCUCGAAACAUUAGGUUUAGGUUGAACCAAAAUAAUACUCGAAAAUAAUGGACCCCAUUCUCGUAAUUUUCAUCGUCUACGCCAUCUGCUUCGUGGUUUUUGGCGUGUGGAGUUUUGGCGAAAUGGCGCAUGACAAAAGGGUCGCGGAGAGUGGCGAAAUGUACGGUCUGCUCGGAACUUCGCGAACUUCGGAGUGCAAACUUCACACCCUGGAACUGUUCGGAGGAUGGUUCGGAAGUCUGAUGGCGCAGGUCUGUUUCCGCCACAAGAUUAAGAAAUGCUCGUACCAGGUCACAUUUUGGAUUAUCGUGGCUCUCCACGUGGUCGGAAUGGGGGCCGUGUAUCUUGGGAGGGAUGAAAUCCGGGACUUUUUUAAGAAAGGUGGGGGAAAAUAGAGGGUGGUGGGGGAUUAAUUGGGGUAAAAAUGGUAGUAAUUAAGUGGGUAUUUCGGAUUAUAAGUAAUUAAGUGGGUAUUUCGGAUUAUAAGUAAUUAACCGGGUAUUUCGGAUUAUCAUUACAGUUUUGAUAUUUAUUUAUGUAUUAUUUACUGAAUGAUACUUCUAUUUUUUUUCAAAAAAUGUGGGGGGACAAUAAAUAAAAGGUGAUGGGGGGUAAAUUGUGGUAAAAAUGUUAGUAAUUAAGUUGGUAUUUGGGAUUUCCUUGAUAAUUGUGUAACACAUAGUUUGUGUGGAUUAUUUAAUGAAUGAUGUUUGUAUAUAAAUGCUAUACAAAAACUAAGGCUGAAUUUUUGUGAUAAUAAUUCGAUAAAAGAAUCUGUGCAAAAAUUUUUGUGCUCCUCUUGAUAAGCACAAACUUAUAUAUUUGCUUAUUUCAAAUAAAGUGGCCUUAUAUUCUAAAGAAAUGUUGAAUGUGAACUAAUUACAAAACAAUAAAUACUUGUGAAAUUCA